GGGCAUCACACCUGUUUCUUAUCUUUUACUGAAAUCUUCUAAAAUUUCAGUACCAAAUCUUAAAAUAUCUCUGAGCAAAUUCCUCAUAUCAUUUUCUCUUGCAGGAUUUCUUUAUAAAUUACUGGUUCUAAUUUAGAUCUAUGUUCUAUAUGUGAGGGUUGAUUACAUGAAGAUGGAAACAUGAAUUCUUUAUAAAAUAUCCAUGC
This 206-nucleotide long non-coding RNA is filed under the name Elaeis guineensis (African oil palm). Its description in RNAcentral is "long non-coding RNA (EGUI_LNC017397)". Lineage: Eukaryota; Viridiplantae; Streptophyta; Magnoliopsida; Arecales; Arecaceae. The record is from RNAcentral.